This 374-nucleotide long non-coding RNA is filed under the name Pan troglodytes (chimpanzee). Its description in RNAcentral is "lncRNA (ENSPTRG00000053915.1)". The record is from RNAcentral. Lineage: Eukaryota; Metazoa; Chordata; Mammalia; Primates; Hominidae.
CUCAAGAGAAUGGGCCUUUGUUACUUUCUCAGGAAGCGGAGUUGCAAGUUAAAUGCCUUGCCUUUCAUAGAAGACAUGAUUGCUUUAAGAGAGUCCCAACCAGAGAAGAGGACUGUGGAGGAGGGAAGAGGGGAAGGUACAACUGAACAGAGGCUUUGAUUGUGAGGCUCCAGCCAGACCCACGCUUCCUCCUGCCUUCCUGCCUCAACCCUCCCCGGUGGACCCCUCACCAGAUGAAGGUCUGUUAGCUGAGCUGGGGGAUGAUGACUCAGAGCAACGGGGCUGACUUUCAGGCAAGGCCUGAGUUUGGUUUUAAUUAUGCUGCGCUGUGUGCAUGAACUAAAAUUGCGGGAUGAUGUGAAAGAAAAAUAAAU